UGACAUUCAGGCCAAAACAAGCCUGAAAUGUUGGUUUCAUCAGACCAGAGAAUCGUGUUUCUCAAGGUUUGAGAGUCUUUAGGUGUCUUUUGACAAACUCCAAGCGUGCUGUCGUGUGCCUUUUACUGGAGGAGUGGCUUCUGUCUGGCCACACAUAAAGGCCUGAUUGGUGGAGUGCUGCAGAGAUGAUUGUCCUUCUGGAAGGUUCUCCCAUCUCCACGGAGGGAAGUCUAUCAGAGUGACCAUCGGGUUCUUGGUCACUUCCCUGACCAAGGCCCUUCUCCCCCGAUUGCUCAGUUUGGCCGGGAGGCCAGAUCUAGGAAGAGUCUUGGUGGUUCCAAACUUCUUCUAUUUAAGAAUGACAUUUUUUGGUACCCUUCCCCAGAUCUGUGACUCCACACAAUCCUGUCUCAGAGAUGUACAAAUUCCUUCAAUCUCGUCGCUUGGUUUUUGCUGUGGGACCUUAUAAAUUCAACAAAAAAAGAACGAGCAGUAUGGCUGGUGGCAUUGUCAGGCUGGAGGGUCAUGUCAGGAUGAGCCUGCAGGAAGGGUACCACAUGAGGGAGGAGGAUGUCUUCCCUGUAACGCACAGCAUUGAGAUUGCCUGCAAUGACAACAAGCUCAGUCCGAUGAUGCUGUGACACACCGCCCCAGACCAUGACGGACUCUCCACCUCCAAAUCUAUUCCUCUCCAGAGUACAGGCCUCGGUGUAACCCUCAUUCCUUCGAUUAUAAACGCAAAUCUGACCAUCCCUGGUGAGACAAAACCGCGACUCAUCAGUGAAGAGCACUUUUUGCAAAAAAAAGUAUUUCUGUCUGGUCCAGCGACGGUGGGUUUGUGCCCAUAGGCGAUGUUGUUGCCGGUGAUGUCUGGUGAGGCCCUGCCUUACAACAGCCUACAAGCCCUCAGUCCACCCUCUCUCAGAGUAUUGCGGACAGUCUGAGCGCUGAUGGAGGGAUCCUGGUGUAACUCGGGCAGUUGUUGUUGCCAUUCUGUACCUGUCCCGCAGGUGUGAUGUUCGGAUGUACCGAUCAUGUGCAGGUGUUGUUACACGUGGUCUGUCACUGCAAGGUCGAUCAGCUGUCCGUCCGGUCUCCCUGUAGCGUUGUCUUGGGCGUCUCACAGUACGGACAUUGCAAUUUAUUGCCCUGGCCACAUCUGCAGUCCUCAUGCCUCCUUGCAGCAUGCCUAAGCCACGUUCACGCAGAUGAGCAGAGACCUUGGGCAUCUUUUUUUGGUGUCAGUCAAAAUAUUAUAUUUAUAAUAUUUUAUACAUUUGUAUAAAAUCAGCCACGCAAAACUGUCUUGAGUGACACCUUUCGACACACCCACUCGCCCAUACUCCAGUUGCCAUAGUGGGCUGCAGCUACCCAUAUUUGUAUUGCACACACGCACCUCACUAAGUAAGUGUUGUAGAGGACUGCUAAUUCCUAUGUAGGUGACAUUACAUUACUGCUAAUUCCUAUGUAGGUGACAUUACACUACUAUAGCUGAGACACAUAGUAAAACAGGUUGGGCCCCAUACAGGAUAUCUCUCACACACACACUCACUGUAAUCAUCCAGAACACUGUCACAACAGGAUACUCCUAGCCACAGGUGCUAGCCGGCAGUUCGGCCACAACUCCCCUGAAGAUAGGGACGCACACACUUUACACACUGACCCCAGAAGACAGGGACGACGCACAUACAGUACACACAUAGCUGCCGAGGACACCCAGAUAAGACACCCACAGAUUGGCAGAAAGCCUAGACUUAGUGACUGAAGAUAGCGCACACACCAGAUCUCCUUUUCAGCUGAACAUGGUGUGACGACCAAGAACAGGCAUGGCAGGAUUCUACGAUGACGGACAGACAACAGAGCCAAUGCCGGAUGACUACACCCCAGCCUGAUCCAAUCCGAAGAUCCGAUCUCCUAGAUAUCAACCUACUUUCUGUUCUGUAUAUGAAGCUUGUACCCAUUGUUAACUAGGGCCUUUUUGCUAGUCUCUGAUGAGCUAACAGAGGGGCCCGUAUAUACGCUGUACCAGAUAUCUCCACUCUGAAAUAAACCUGUCGCUUGUCGUACAAUCUACCACCUUGUCUGCAUCGAUCCUUGACCGACUCACCCUUUAUCAUAUCCCAUUAUUAACAGAAAUGGUAGCCAGAGGAUGGUUUAAUAACGAUCCAUCAAAGUGAGUUGAUUUGGGUGUGAGAGGGAGAGAGGGUGAAAGGACGAUUCACGGAGGACAGAGGUGAAGGAAUUCGGGGGAGGACAACAAUUCUGCUCAACUCGGUAAACUGAUCACAAGGCGCACCACAAACAAGGAUUUUAUGCAUUACAGGUGAACUACAGGUGAAGUCACUCAAUCCAGUCCCAGAGGCUUGGGGACCAUAGAUGACCCCUGGUGACAGCUAGCUGAAAGAGCUACCCAGAUUCAUAUCGCACGGCGGAAGGGUAAGACACUUUUUCACUGUCGGACAUUAAAACAGUGUUCGAGAGAAGAACUGGAAUUAACAGAAUUCCGGGGGCCAACUCUCGAAUGAAGUAACCCUACCUGUCCUAUCACCCCUGUUUUUGUUCAUAGAAGUGAGGAUGUGUCUGGCUCUGGCUAAGUGAUGUGUAUUUUGUUCCAAAAUAAGCAUAAGAGAUCCCUAGAUCUGGGUAUUUGUAAGUCGCUCUGGAUAAGAGCGUCUGCUAAAUGACUUAAAUGUAAAUGUAAAUAUAGACAAGAAGUUAGAGUAGAGAUUACAUGAUAACCGACUUCGGACAGUUCUAGGAUUGGAGAAGAGGGUAUCCUUAUAGCAUGGGGAUCCCACAAGGGUGGAUAGGUUUUCCAUGAUAUGGGGAAACCUGGGAGCAAUGUUGAACUUUGUAAAGGUGAUGAAAUCCUACUAACCAUCAAAACUAUUAAGCUCUCUGAUGCAGGCACUCACACCCUCGGACUACAAAGGACGAGGACAGACAUGAUGGGUGUGUUUUCUAUUAAGGUACUGCCAAGACCAGAGGUAACCGGACACACUCCUCUACCACCACUGUGUUAAAAAUACCAUUCAGGUAAUUAAUGUUAGAGACUAUUCGGCUAUUGAUCAAUUAGGAACUGAGACUGGUUUUGAUAGUAGGGACAAUUUGUGGCUGUCUUAUAUGAGGUACACAGCUAAAACCCUGAGAGGAAAGGACUGCAUUAUUUGUAGUCAUGCUAGACCUGUUCUGGCUACACACCCAUUUGCUGUAGGAGAAGGAGAGGGGUGGUUGUGUAUUCUGAGAAGUUUUUACCAGGUUAAGCCCAAUUCAACCCUCUGUUCCUCUUUGAGCCUUGUGUUUCCUGCAGUACCUCCUCAUCGGGCCUCUUGGGGUGUUGAGGCAUAUGGGGGCAAUUAAGAGUGCAUCACGGGUACAGGUAAUGGCAUUGAUUAUGGGGGAUUGCCUGAAGCUGAUUGCAGUAGUAACAUAACCAUUAAUUCCACUUGGCCAGUUACAGGCUGAUGUGAGGUGGAUGAGUGGAGCCAAGAGUGCUGAGACCCAUUCUUAGAGGAGAAUGGCAAGGUACGUGUGCUCUGACCAGUUUGAUAAUUCCACUGACCAUUGUUGAUGUUACUGCUGAACAGCUGUUGGGUUCUGUAUCCAAGGGACCUGAAAACAUUCCAUCCCAUGGGAGACAUAGACGUAGCGCUCAGAGAAUGUAGUUGACAUAAACACUAACCUGUUGGGUGUGCCAGUGGGGGUUCCUCAUGAGUUUCAGGCCUUGGGUAGGAAUGAUGGACUCUUACUACCUACUAUGGGUCCAGCCAUGGUGGAUGCUAGACAGACUGCAUGGAUUAAUUAUAUCUACUAUAAUCAACAGCGUUUUGUGAAUUACUCCCGUGAUGCACUCACUGGUAUGUCUGAACAGCUUGAGGCCACAUUUGGGGUUUCCAGACAGAAUAGACUUGCCUUGGAUAUGCUUCUUGCCAGUCAGGGGGACGUUUGCAAGAUGUUCGGUAAACAAUGUUGCACGUAUAUUCCUAAUAAUACCAGUCCAGAUGAUAUCUAGGGUGGGCUUGAUGCACUAUCUGAUAAGAUGAGGUCCACAGGGGGGGUGGAGGAGUCUGUUCUCUUGGCCUGGUUUGGUAAGUACACUGAUAUGAUGGUUACUGGAUUUCUGACCCUAAUUCUUGUAUUAUUUGUUAUUGAUGUGAUGUGCUGCUUGCAUCAUACCGUGUUCUAAGAAAUAUGUUACAGAUAUGGUGAAGGCUUCAGGCAUGUUGCCUUUGCUUGAUGCUCCAGUUGGAGAUGCCGAUACGGAAGCAUGCUUUCAGGAGAGGAUGGGACUGACUGAGGAUGACCCAUGGUAUGCUGUGGGUGAGGUAGUAGAAUAAUUUUACACCACCACAGUUCCUUGUUAUAAAUUUUUAUGAUAGGUUUUCAUUCCAGUAUGUUUGUUCUCCCUGUUGUAAAGGUUUAGAGUCCCUGGGUGGCAAGGAGCCCACCUGGUACAGGAUAGGAGUAGCUGAGAGGACCAGAUGGUUUCUAAUAAUUCUUUCCUCUGUUUUCCAUGACCAAAGUUUUAUCCUACAUCUUACAUGUCAAUAACAAUAAAGUUUUAUCCUGUUUUUGAUAAGUGACACCCUUGUGGGUGACAAAAGGGGGAAACGCAUAUAACAAUAGACAUAUAUCACUUGUUAUUAAUAAUAAACUUUUUAUUAUUUUCAUGAAAUGCUAUGACUGCUGAAAUAAAGGAUAAUGAGUGUCAAAAGGGGGACUUAAAUUUCACACCCUUGGGGUUAUUUUACAUUAUAGCCAUUACCAUAUAUAUGAUUGAAUAUUAUCUGCUGUUGCCUUGGGUGGAUGUGUGUAUGUGUUAUGUUCUCUAGCUGAUUUGAAACAUUGUUAAAAGUAUCAGGGCCAUGGAACUUUCUCAUGCUGGGAAAAUACAGAAGGGAGGGCACAUUCAGAGCGUGGGGUUGCGAGAACAAGCGGUCUUUUGUUAGAUAACAGGAGCCAGGUGCGAGAUAACGGUAUGGAGCAUGAGACCCAUCUUUUAGUUUUUGCAGCCAUUUUAGUGUUGUGCGGCUGCGGUUGCAUUCCAUGUAUCCGGUCCCUUACUGCUAGAGUUAUCUCCAGAGCUAUUGACCCUUCUUCCCCUUCCCAGAUGUAUCCUCUGCUUGCUAAUGACCUGCCAGAGUUUGAGGAUGAGGUGGAGAAUACCCUUUAGAGAGUGUCACAUCUCUUUGGAGAUGUGAAGAGAGGGUAUCACAACUUUUUCCGGCUGGAAAAGGUUGGCUUAUGUGGACAAACAUUUUACUUAUAGCUUAGAGCUGUUGUUCUCCGCAAUUGUUAAAUGAGGGUUGUAAGUUCCUAGGUGGCUGGUAGCCAUCUUAGUACAUAGUGGGAUUGAGUGGAGAACUUGGUGGUAAUACAUAUACAUCCAUUUCUUUUUAAUGUUGUGCCUUUUUCAUAGCCCCUUUGGGAAAAGUUUUCUUUUGUAAUCUAGUUAGGUUGUGUCACGUCUCUGGGGAGACGUGAAGAGAGGGAUUUGUAGAGGACUGCUAAUUCCUAUGUAGGUGACAUUACAUUACUGCUAAUUCCUAUGUAGGUGACAUUACACUACUAUAGCUGAGACACAUAGUAAAACAGGUUGGGCCCCAUACAGGAUAUAUCUCACACACACACUCACUGUAAUCAUCCAGAACACUGUCACAACAGGAUACUCCUAGCCACAGGUGCUAGCCGGCAGUUCGGCCACAACUCCCCUGAAGAUAGGGACGCACACACUUUACACACUGACCCCAGAAGACAGGGACGACGCACAUACAGUACACACAUAGCUGCCGAGGACACCCAGAUAAGACACCCACAGAUUGGCAGAAAGCCUAGACUUAGUGACUGAAGAUAGCGCACACACCAGAUCUCCUUUUCAGCUGAACAUGGUGUGACGACCAAGAACAGGCAUGGCAGGAUUCUACGAUGACGGACAGACAACAGAGCCAAUGCCGGAUGACUACACCCCAGCCUGAUCCAAUCCGAAGAUCCGAUCUCCUAGAUAUCAACCUACUUUCUGUUCUGUAUAUGAAGCUUGUACCCAUUGUUAACUAGGGCCUUUUUGCUAGUCUCUGAUGAGCUAACAGAGGGGCCCGUAUAUACGCUGUACCAGAUAUCUCCACUCUGAAAUAAACCUGUCGCUUGUCGUACAAUCUA
Long non-coding RNA from Oncorhynchus nerka (sockeye salmon), 6156 nucleotides. RefSeq lists it as uncharacterized. Lineage: Eukaryota; Metazoa; Chordata; Actinopteri; Salmoniformes; Salmonidae. The record is from RefSeq and is a predicted model, not a curated record. The transcript has 2 exons.